GAACGCACAUUGCGCCCUCUGGUAUUCCGGGGGGCAUGCCUGUUCGAGCGUCAUUUUCACCCCUCAAGCUCAGCUUGGUAUUGGGUGCCUCGCCUUUCCCCCCCCCCGAGCAUUCGUGCCCGCGGUGGAGAGCGACGCCCGAAAUUCAGCGGCGGUGCGGCCGGAUUCCCUAGCGCAGUGACUUUUUACAACGCUACAAGGAGUUCGCGACAUCGUAUCGGCCGGACAACAACCAAAUUUAUUAUCACGAUUGACCUCGGAUCAGGUAGGGAUACCCGCUGAACUUAA
RNAcentral lists this unclassified non-coding RNA (288 nucleotides) under uncultured fungus. Its description in RNAcentral is "partial contains 5.8S ribosomal RNA, internal transcribed spacer 2, and large subunit ribosomal RNA". The stretch from base 1 to 53 matches the Rfam family "5.8S ribosomal RNA", at positions 102 to 154 of the family's 154-position model. The record is from RNAcentral. Lineage: Eukaryota; Fungi.